RNAcentral lists this ribosomal RNA (508 nucleotides) under uncultured bacterium. RNAcentral's name for it is "partial 16S ribosomal RNA". It matches the Rfam family "Bacterial small subunit ribosomal RNA", at positions 28 to 507 of the family's 1533-position model. The record is from RNAcentral.
GACGAACGCUGGCGGCGUGCCUAAUACAUGCAAGUCGAACGCUUCUUUCCUCCCGAGUGCUUGCCCUCAAUUGGAAAGAGGAUUCGCGGACGGGUGAGUAACACGUCGGUAACUUACCCAUCAGAUGGGGAUAACACUUGGAAACUGGUGCUAAUACCGCAUAACAUUUUAUGCCGCAUGUCAUAAGAGUGAAAGGCGCUUUCGGGUGUCGUUCAUGGAUGUACCCGGGGUGCAUUAGCUUGUCGGUGAGGUAACGGCACAUCAAGGCAACGAUGCAAAGCUGAGCGGAGCGGGUGAUCGGCCCCACUAGGACUGAGACGCGGCACAGACUCCUACGGGAGGGAGCAGUAGAGAAUCGUAGGCAAUGGAAGAAAGGAGGACCGGACAAAGCCGCGUGGGUGAAGAAGGUAUGGGGAUCGUAAAAGUCAGCUGUUAGUGAAGAGCGAGAACGUUAGUAACGGAACGGCCGCUGAAGGUAUCUAACCAGAAAGCAACGGCUAACUACGUG